CGUGUAGGCGGGGGAUUAAGUUAGGUGUGAAAGCCACGGGCUCAACCCAUGAAUUGCACCUAAUACUGGUUCUCUUGAGUUCGGGAGAGGAGAGCGGAAUUCCCGGUGUAGCGGUGAAAUGCGUAGAUAUCGGGAAGAACACCAGUGGCGAAGGCGGCUCUCUGGCCCAGAACUGACGCUGAGGCGCGAAAGCGUGGGGAGCGAACG
RNAcentral lists this ribosomal RNA (207 nucleotides) under uncultured bacterium. RNAcentral describes it as "partial 16S ribosomal RNA". It matches the Rfam family "Bacterial small subunit ribosomal RNA", at positions 568 to 774 of the family's 1533-position model. The record is from RNAcentral.